Molecule: non-coding RNA, 686 nt
Organism: Triticum urartu
Lineage: Eukaryota; Viridiplantae; Streptophyta; Magnoliopsida; Poales; Poaceae
Source: RefSeq, a predicted model, not a curated record
UUUAGCCACACAAAGGACAGGAGUAGGAGGAGCUCUGCUUGCUCUGCAUCAAUGGCGACGAGGAGCGGCUACACCAGAGAAAGAGGAAGCUCAAUCCUGUUCUUGGGUUUUGGAGAUUAAACUGUCGAAUCCAGCGGAGCUCUUCACACUUCCCGCGAUAGAAGACGAACUCUCGAAGGAGUUCCUCGAUCCGGAGUACUGCAGGAUAGACACUUCAUCUGUCCCGUAAGGUUGCGUUUGUCCUAGCAGGUACAGGGAGGAGAUUGCUUGGUUUCUCCAAUGAUUCAUAUUUCUGUUUCCCUUCUCAGACUUUUGGAUGUUGUUUUUCUUUGAAUCCAAUCUGAUAGUUUCUGAAUCACCAAUGGAGAAAGCCUACUUAGAUCUAUGGACAGAGAGAAGCAACAUGGAGUUUGACAAGUGACAACGAGCAGCUUGUGAACAAGCUGAGGAACAAAAUAAUCGGCAAUAAAAUUAGUAUGGCAAGGAGCUACAAGAUGAUCACGGACGAGGAGAUGAAGCGAGCAUCAAUGGUUAUAUAGCACUAGUGACAUAAGUACCAGGAUUGUUGAGACAAAGUGCUUAACUCAGGAGGGGAACUUCAUAAUAAGGUCAUAUAAUGGUUGCAAUGAAAGCACCACUAGCAUCUUUAUCAAAUGACACAGUAAGAACCAUGUUUAGUUAACGAA